UGGGGAAUAUUGCACAAUGGGCGCAAGCCUGAUGCAGCAACGCCGCGUGAACGAUGAAGGUCUUCGGAUCGUAAAGUUCUGUUGCAGGGGAAGAUAAUGACGGUACCCUAUGAGGAAGCCCCGGCUAACUACGUGCCAGCAGCCGCGGUAAUACGUAGGGGGCUAGCGUUAUCCGGAUUUACUGGGCGUAAAGGGUGCGUAGGUGGUCUUUCAAGUCGGUGGUUAAAGGCUACGGCUCAACCGUAGUUAGCCUCCGAAACUGGAAGACUUGAGUGCAGGAGAGGAAAGUGGAAUUCCCAGUGUAGCGGUGAAAUGCGUAGAUAUUGGGAGGAACGCCAGUAGCGAAGGCGGCUUUCUGGACUGCAACUGACACUGAGGCACGAAAGCGUGGGUAGCAAACAGG
This 403-nucleotide ribosomal RNA is filed under the name Verrucomicrobiota bacterium. RNAcentral's name for it is "Verrucomicrobia bacterium partial 16S ribosomal RNA". It matches the Rfam family "Bacterial small subunit ribosomal RNA", at positions 355 to 776 of the family's 1533-position model. Lineage: Bacteria; Pseudomonadati; Verrucomicrobiota. The record is from RNAcentral.